Molecule: long non-coding RNA, 935 nt
Organism: Solanum lycopersicum (tomato)
Lineage: Eukaryota; Viridiplantae; Streptophyta; Magnoliopsida; Solanales; Solanaceae
Source: RefSeq, a predicted model, not a curated record
CUAUAUUAUAUAUAUAAAAAGAAAAAAAGAAAAAAAGAAAUUUCCAGGCCGGAUGUUAGUUGAAAGGGUCUUACCUAUGUUAAUGACAUCUCCAAUAAUAUACCAAGUAAUGAUUAAUUUUUAUAGCUUUCCAUUUCAAUGGUGUUAUAAUAAAGAUGAGUAGUGGUCCUAAUAGGAGUGGUUUCCAAAAAUAAAAUAACUAUAGGCUAUAAUAAGUUUGACUUUGAGUGUAUUUGAAAAAAAAUGAUGAUUAAUUAGACCAUAAGUGUGACAUUUCUAUGGCUGUUGCUUUAACUCAUGACAUGUAUCAAUCUAAACCGACACAUAAAGACAUUGGAGGAAAAAUUAUAAAGUAGUGAGGUGUAAAGACCAACAGUAUGCAUUUUUACAUUUUUUUUCACUGUAUAAGCUUUCCCUUUACUCUAUUUUAGAAAAGAAAAUAUAAUAUAUAGUUUCAUAGUUUGGUAUUGUAGGGAGGAAUUUAUGAAGAAUGACUGGAUUUUAUUUGGAACUUUUGAGAAGCAUGUCAAACCAGGAUGUUUGUUCCUAUGAAAAAAUCUCUUAGAUGAAUGAAAAGGUUCAAUGCUCAUGUCUAACCUCAGGAUGUGACAUAUAGGAACUAAUUCAUUUUGGAAGGCAAGUCAAGUUGUGGCUAUUGUGAGUUCAUUAAUAGUACUAGUUUGUUACUUGUACAAUUAGUUCAGUUAGAUACCAAUAUUUUGCUUUAAUUAAUGUAUAGGUUGAGAUCCACUUUCCAAAACUAGCUAGCCCUUUGUUGGGCUUCCCUUUAAUUAGAUUUGUGGCCUUCUUCUUCAUCAUGUUCAUUUGAUGGACAAGAAGAAAUAUAUGUUUGUAUCUUAAGGAUGUCGAUUGACGAAAGCGGGUGAUUUUUUUAAUGAAUAUAUAAGUUUGACUCUUUUUGGGAUUUUGUUGAA